This 372-nucleotide ribosomal RNA is filed under the name uncultured organism. Its description in RNAcentral is "bacterial SSU rRNA". It matches the Rfam family "Bacterial small subunit ribosomal RNA", at positions 526 to 895 of the family's 1533-position model. The record is from RNAcentral.
CGGAGGAUCCAAGCGUUAUCCGGAAUUACUGGGCGUAAAGAGUUGCGUAGGUGGCAUAGUAAGCGGGCAGUGAAAUUGUGUGGCUCAACCAUACACCCAUUGUCUGAACUGCUAAGCUUGAGCACGAGAGAGGUAACUGGAAUUUCUAGUGUAGGAGUGAAAUCCGUAGAUAUUAGAAGGAACACCGAUGGCGUAGGCAGGUUACUGGCUCGUUGCUGACACUAAGGCACGAAAGCGUGGGGAGCGAACGGGAUUAGAUACCCCGGUAGUCCACGCCGUAAACUAUGCUUGCUAGCUGUUAGAAGUAUCGACCCUUCUAGUAGCGAAGCUAACGCGUUAAGCAAGCCGCCUGGGGAGUACGAACGCAAGUUU